UUCCUGGUGGUCUAGUGGUUAGGAUUCGCGCUCACCGCCGCACGGGUUCGAUUCCCGGUCAGGGAA
This 66-nucleotide transfer RNA is filed under the name Anguilla anguilla (European eel). RNAcentral's name for it is "tRNA-Ser". Lineage: Eukaryota; Metazoa; Chordata; Actinopteri; Anguilliformes; Anguillidae. The record is from RNAcentral.